AAUGAUACAGUGGAGGCACCGGGUUGUACUGUGGCGGUACUAUAUGAUGGGGUGGAGGUACUAGAUUGUACUAUGGUGGUACCAGAUGGUACAAUGGAGGAGCAGGGUUGUACCAGAGUGGCUCCGAAUCUUCCCGCUUUAAGGGUGGCUCAAAUUGUGGAAGCGGGGGAGAGUCAGACAGCUCCCUCCUUUCCUUCCGGACCUGCUGGGCAGAGAUUAGUCUCU
RNAcentral lists this long non-coding RNA (225 nucleotides) under Carica papaya (papaya). RNAcentral describes it as "long non-coding RNA (CPAP_LNC013011)". The record is from RNAcentral. Lineage: Eukaryota; Viridiplantae; Streptophyta; Magnoliopsida; Brassicales; Caricaceae.